Panthera uncia (snow leopard) is the source of this 2708-nucleotide long non-coding RNA. RefSeq lists it as uncharacterized. The record is from RefSeq and is a predicted model, not a curated record. NCBI's taxonomy places the organism in Eukaryota, Metazoa, Chordata, Mammalia, Carnivora, Felidae. The transcript is spliced from 2 exons.
GACGCGGCGUGCGCGCACUACGCAAGCGCAAAGUUCGUCUUCUCGGGGGACGUGCUGGCUGGGAAUGUGAGUUGCUUUCCGUCCCUGAGCGCCGCGGCCGGGGAGUUUACAUUUUCUCUUUAACCUCUUAUCGUAUCUUCUUGAUAACCUUGUGUUUUACGGUGGGACCCGGGGGAUCCAAGUAUCCUCAUUUAAGGCCAGCUCCUCGCAAGCUCGUCCCGUGCCCGCUUCACCCGCUUGGUCGUGUCUCCUGUAAUGAUGCCCUUUCUCCGCACAACUGUGAGCCACCCAGGCUUCCUUGUAAUGAUGCCCUUUCUCAUUCCUAACGGCCUACACGUGUGCUGGCAUCCCUGCGACAGAGACACAAAACAUCGCCGCACACCUCCUUCCAACAGCCGUCACGUUUCUCUUGCCCUUUUUUUAGGUAAACUGUUGGAGAAGGCGUUUUCCUGCCACACGGGCGGGCCCUCAACUCUCUUGACCUCCUCCAAUCAGUCAUUCCUCCCCAUCUACACCGCUGGAAGCACUCUUGCUGAGGCACAUAUGGGGAACUCACACAUUUGUUAAGUGAACCUGGGAAGAAGGGCUUUUUUUCUGAGGGAGGCAGUUUUGGCAGCCCAGGAGAUGGUUCGGAAGGUUAGUGGGGUGUAGCCUUUCUCCUAAGUUCAGGGGUGGCACACCUUUAACAAUUCAUUUGGCUUAGUAAAUGUUCAGUAAACAUUAACAGAUCCCAUUAUUCAGACUGUCCUAUUAACAGGAAUAUCCUAUUAAGAGAACACUCGUUUUCACUCUCCCCCCUCCCCACUGGCAGGGUACCCUGGCAGAACAAAGACCUAGCCUGGGUCAUUUUAACAACAAAUAUUUUCAAGCACUUAUUCUGUGUGGCUCAACCUAAUACCACAUUUCAGGCUGUGCUGUGUGCUUUACAUGUAUUAUCUCGUCCUCAAAACAACCUUAUGGGCUAGAUCAUACUAUUCUCCAUACCGUCCGAGGAGGAAGCAAGCAUAGAUUGAAUAACUGCACAAAGGUAGUUUGAGGUGGAGUUGAGAUUUGAAACUAGGUAAUUUGACACCACAGCCUGAGUUCUUUCAAACUACUUUACAUGCCUCCCAGAGUUUUAAGACCUAACCUAUAGAAAGGUAUCAGGGCUUGCAGGGAUCCUGAAAGUCCUUUGCUACAUGCCUCCCUUCACACAGGGUUACGUGAAGCCAUCAGGGAUGGAUAGGUUAAUUACGACUGUCCUUAAAGGUUUCCAUCAGCUCAUCUUCCUUGGGUCAUUCAUCUCAACAGAGUUGGAAGUUUUUGUCUAGAUACAACCUGAAACCCGUUAGAUUCACUAAAGAUCUUAAUCCUGGUGACUCAUGUCCAGAGUAUGUCUUUUCCAUUGAUAGCCACCAUUUUCCCGAGUCCAUUCAUUCCCAUACCCUUUAUCUUUCACAGAAAUGGUAAUGUCACUGUAGUCCCUGAUAGUGAUUUCACGUAGAACCAAGAAAGUUAUGGUGCCCGUAUUUUCUGGAGCAGAAUAGUUGACGCGUGGCGUAGAGUGACUAUAGAAAAAUCUAAGACAGGAGUCCUCCAACAAAUGUGUACGGAGCACCACUGUGGUCCAGGUCUCUGGCAGGUUUGGGGGAUACAAAGUCUUACAAGAAAUGGCUCCUGGCCUUGCAGUUCUCAUGCUUUCCCUAAUACAAGUUCUCUGAACAGCGUUUAUGACUCAAUAUUUCAAACUGGGUAGCUGCGGCCCAUGGGAAUUUAGAAAUGGGAAAUUUACUUGAACUGAAAAUGCUGUUCUUCGGAAGAACUCCUUAGGCAUGCUCUCUCUAGAGGACUCUCUAUAUAGUACUUGGCAGCUCCACGUAGAGGUCUCUCCUUCCCAUUAUUGUACGCCUCUUUAAUAGGUCCUGUGGCUUCUAGUUUUCUCUUUACCCGUUUGACACUGGUUAUGUUUUAUUUUUUAUUUUUUAAGUAGGCUUCACGCCCAAUGUGGGGCUGGAGCUCAUGACCCUGAGAUCAAGAGGCGGAUGCUCUACCGACUUAGCCAGCCAUGCGCCCUGGUCUGUUUUAAACACUACUCAGAUUCUACUUCUGUUUUAGAACUUCACAUGGUUCCCUGUUGUUCUCAGUGUCAGGUUCAAACUCCUUGCUGUUGAAUUGUGAGGCAGGCCACGGUCUGCCCCACACUCUACUUUUUAGCCUCCUUUUAGUUGCUAUUAUUCCUUUUGUUCUCCAGUGACCACUCAGCCAGAUGUGCUGAACUGUGAGGUCCGACCGUGUGUAACUGCCGUUUUACAUAUCAAAAAUGGUCUAAGACUUGCAAUUCAGUACAGUUCAAGUUCACACUUGCCAUUCCUGCAUGAUACGUACUUUCAGACCGCUUUUCCGCAGAAUGUCUCCACUUGCUUCAUCUGAUAAGCUCCCACUUAUCCUUUAAAACCCAUGGCGGAUGUCCCCUCUCCAUGAGGCUUUCCUGGCUCACCCGGUGGAAUUAGUGCCCCCAGCAGAGGCUCACACCCUGGAUGUGAUUCUUCUCCCCACUUAGCUUGGCGGGAGUUACCAGUCCACUCCUACACGAUGCUGGCCCCGCCUUGUCUGGCCCGUGAACAUCCCAAGGAAGGGGACCAUGUCACGAAGAUCCCACAUCCUGCAUAGUCCAUAGUGCCACGUGCAUAAUGCUGACUAUUGGAGGACUACCCGCUUCCUUUAUGAAC